CGCCCAGGCUGGAGUGCAGUGGCGCGAUCUCGGCUCACUGCAACCUCCAUGGAAGCAAUCUUAGACUCCUCUCACCCGGAGGAAACUGGAGGCUGAGACGGAAAUGUGUCUGUGGAUACAAGGAGCUGAUCCUGAGAAAGAAGUACUGAUGAAAGGAACGCACACAAGGCCAGGACUGAGCAAAGACUUCAGGGGUGGUCCUCAUGUGCCCUUGAGCUGUGGACUCCAACACUGCUGUUUGCAAAAAGAAGAUGGCAGGAAAGGAUGGCCCUGCAAAGUGUGCCAUCAUGAGUGAGCAUCUCUGUCUACUCAAACUCUGAUUUUUUCACUGCAGCCGACUUAGUGAGGAAUAUGGGCGCACUAAGUUAUAAAAUAUAAGAAUGACAGAA
RNAcentral lists this long non-coding RNA (389 nucleotides) under Homo sapiens (human). RNAcentral describes it as "HSALNT0299075". The record is from RNAcentral. Lineage: Eukaryota; Metazoa; Chordata; Mammalia; Primates; Hominidae.